This 29-nucleotide ribosomal RNA is filed under the name uncultured Piloderma. RNAcentral describes it as "partial 18S ribosomal RNA". The record is from RNAcentral. Lineage: Eukaryota; Fungi; Basidiomycota; Agaricomycetes; Atheliales; Atheliaceae.
AGCGAUAGCAUGCUGUCGCAGGAUCAUUA